GGAAAAAACAAGCGUCAUAGUCCGGAGCAUGUUUCGUUCGUGCCCAAAAUGAUUUAACCGUAGAGCAGUAAUCUCCUUUUUGAUUGGUACUGUAAAACGAAGACGUGCCGCUUAUUGACGUUCCCAGAGAAGCGCUUGAAUCGUUUUAAAAUGUUGCUGAGAAUGAUUACGAUGCUCCGUGAUCAUUUGGUUGAUUUCACCCACGCGCCACUACUACGGGUCAGGUCUCAGGUAUUCGGGUUCAGGUGGACCCAUGAAGACCUUUAAACCCACUGGGCACAAACUGUUUGAAUCAAUGUUGUUUUAAUGUAAUUUGUCAAUGUAUUGUGAAUGUGGACUCUACGUGGAAAAUACAUUGGAUUUCAAACAUGGCAACCAAAUUUCACCAUAGACAAACCUUGUAUAAAAUAUGUUGAAUUUGUACCUUUUUUAAACAAAUAAUGUAACAUUAAACCUUAAAAUGAGUAACACAUCCAUGCCACAUUUUGAGGUUACUGUAACUAAAAAUGUUUUCUUAUGUAAUCAUAUAAAGCGUGCAAGUUCAAGAUUGCAUGGCAUGCAUAGGUCGUUGCAGGUUUUUGGAGAUCUUGACAAUUGCUGUAAUAAUCUACCCAACAUCUCGAAAGGCAUUGAUCACUUGCACCAUGUCUUUUUAAUGUAAUAUUUUUACUGCAAUCCAGGUAAUUUGGUUCUGCUAGCUGAAGCACACAGUGAUAACACAUUAAUCUGUUGUAUAAAUAAAGAAAAUAUCUGACA
Molecule: long non-coding RNA, 756 nt
Organism: Salmo salar (Atlantic salmon)
Lineage: Eukaryota; Metazoa; Chordata; Actinopteri; Salmoniformes; Salmonidae
Source: RefSeq, a predicted model, not a curated record